Molecule: ribosomal RNA, 468 nt
Filed under: uncultured bacterium
Lineage: Bacteria
Description: partial 16S ribosomal RNA
Rfam family: Bacterial small subunit ribosomal RNA
Source: RNAcentral
GACGAACGCUGGCGGCGUGCUUAACACAUGCAAGUCGAACGGAAAGGCCCUGCUUUUGUGGGGUGCUCGAGUGGCGAACGGGUGAGUAACACGUGAGUAACCUGCCCUUGACUGUGGGAUAACUUCAGGAAACUGGGGCUAAUACCGGAUAGGAGCUCCUGCUGCAUGGUGGGGGGUGGAAAGUUUCGGCGGUUGGGGAUGGACUCGCGGCUUAUCGGCUUGUUGGUGGGGUAGUGGCUUACCAAGGCUUUGACGGGUAGCCGGCCUGGGAUGGUGACCGGCCACAUUGGGACUGAGAUACGGCCCAGACUCCUACGGGAGGCAGCAGUGGGGAAUAUUGCACAAUGGGCGGAAGCCUGAUGCAGCAACGCCGCGUGCGGGAUGACGGCCUUCGGGUUGUAAACCGCUUUCGCCUGUGACGAAGCGUGAGUGACGGUAAUGGGUAAAGAAGCACCGGCUAACUACGUG